This is a long non-coding RNA of Scatophagus argus, 732 nucleotides long. RefSeq lists it as uncharacterized. The record is from RefSeq and is a predicted model, not a curated record. Lineage: Eukaryota; Metazoa; Chordata; Actinopteri; Scatophagidae. The transcript is spliced from 3 exons.
GCUACAGAGGGUCGGGGUGAUAAAUAACUAAAUAUAUCAAAGCAUACUAUGUGCGCAUACAUAAACAAAAACAAUUAAAUGUUACGUCACCUUCCCCGUCAACGCUGUGCAGUCUUUCUUGCAGUUCACACAUGGUACUCCGCAGAUCAGACACCGACUCCUCAAGCAUUUCUCUAUAACGAAGAGCCAGACGAUGCCGUUUUGCCGUGGAAAAUAACAACAUUUUUGUCUCUGCUUGCUGUUCCUGUUUGUGCUCCUCUUUUCCCUCAGUUCCUGCUGGCUGGUCAUCCGAGCUUUUGGCCAUGGCCUUGGCUGUGUGCUUGCCUGCAGUCUUCACGAUAGCUUUGACGCCCAGAUUGUCAAUGUUGUAUGCAGCCACACCGACAUUGACCACUGACUUGAUCGCAGUGUCUGUGGCUUGACCUGCAUCGUCACCAUACCUUCACCGCAGACAAUAUGGUGGAGUCAGAGAAAGGUGGACUGUGAGAGGAAGCUGAAGAACCUACGAAGACAUGGGGAGAACAUCCAGACUCUGCAGAGAAAGGCCCUGGCUGGUGGAUUCAAACCCAGAACCUUCUUGGUGUGAGGUGACAGUGCUAAACUGUGCUACACCGUGCCACACUACAUAUCAUCCAUCCCAAAUAAGUGACAGUUCAUGCUUGAUCCUUAUAGUAAGUAAAUACCUUGUACACUGCUGGCUGCCACAAACUUGGCUCCAUCAAAGUUGGAAGC